AGCUCUAAUAGCAUACGUUAAAGUUGUUGCGGUUAAAACGCUCGUAGUCGGCUUCAGACCAUCAGAAGCCUGGCUCGGGGUCUCGGGUCUGUGCCUCGCAAGGGGUGCGCCUUGGUCUUGGGCCGGGUGGGCGGCGGUCAAUCGUGCCCAGUGGCGUGUCGCGGCUUGCCGUGGCUUACAGGGCCUUCGGGAUCAAAACCCGGCUUCCGCAAGGGGGUCGGGUCCCGUCGGUCUGGCUCUGGGUACCAAUUACCAUGAUUAAACCGGAGUGAUCAAAGCAAACCGCUGCGGUUACUGCACGGAUUAGCAUGGCAUAAGGAUGCGUCGGGUUGGUCUCGUAGCGGGCCUCCUCGGCAAUUCCGCGAAAGGGGUGUUCGGGGGCAGCCGAAUUGCCGGGCUAGUGGUGAAAUACGUUGACCCUGGCAAGUCGACCGAAAGCGAAAGCAGCUGUCAAGGGCACACCCG
Molecule: ribosomal RNA, 465 nt
Filed under: uncultured eukaryote
Lineage: Eukaryota
Description: SSU rRNA
Rfam family: Eukaryotic small subunit ribosomal RNA
Source: RNAcentral